Long non-coding RNA from Mustela lutreola (European mink), 1667 nucleotides. RefSeq lists it as uncharacterized. NCBI's taxonomy places the organism in Eukaryota, Metazoa, Chordata, Mammalia, Carnivora, Mustelidae. The transcript has 2 exons. The record is from RefSeq and is a predicted model, not a curated record.
GCCAGAGCUCCCGAGACCCCUGGAGGCCCUCGAGGACCCGGAGGGCCAGGAGGGCCUGGAGGGCCAGGGAUGGAGGACACGCCAGCAGCUGAAUGGGAGGCCAGAGAAAGAGAAAGCUGAAAGCACCUCAGAAGCAAGGGUGUUGCUCUCCAGGACCUAGCCCUGUAUGUGCUUUAAGAGGACCGGGUGACUGGCCCAACAGCUUCACCCUCUCUGGCUGCCCUCCUCCCUGAGCCUUACUGUGCAGGUAAGAAGAGAGGUCUUCCACGCUGAUGCUGGACCACACGUUGCCUGGGAUGCCUGGGAUCCCUGGGGGCCCAGGGGGGCCGGGGGGCCCAAUGAUGCCUCUGUAUUCAGACCCUGAGACACCAAAGAAGAGGCCAGAGUCCGUGGGGGGUCUGGGCCAAGGGCCUCUGCCUUCCAUCCCCAAGCCACGUGGACAGAUGGCUCCUGAUCAGCCUUACCUUGAAGCAAGGAGAGGAGCUCUUCAUAGGAUGUUCCUGGCAAGCCAGGGGGUCCCGGAGGGCCAGGAAGCCCAAUGCUGAUUCCAGAGCCUGAGGAACAAGACCCCAAGUUGUGACAUUCACACUGCAUGGGUGUGUGCGAGUUGUGUGUGAACUCCGUACAGGACAGUGGCCUAGCCACUCACUCCUGGCUUCCCUGGCCGGGCUUAGCGGGUGACCUGCUCUGGGGCCACAGGUGGGAAUGGCUCUGAACACGGCCCAGUCCUCCUGGGCUUGGUGCCACCUGGCAGGGGAACAUCAGGGGCCAGUGCAGACAAGUUCAGUGCCUUCCCCACCCCCACCCCCACCCCCACCCCGCGCCGCCCUGCCAGGGCCCUGCUGACCGUCUGCCUGCAGGGGGCAGGCCUGGAGGGCAGACACUCACUGGACAUGUAGCUGAGAACGCGACUGCUCAGCUCGGCGUAGUCCAAAGACUGGAGGGACCAAUCUCCAACCAGAUACUGGCGCAGAUAUUGCCUCACGUCAUCCCCUGCAAGGACAGGCUGCACUGGCGUGGGCCCCCCAGGCCACAGGGCUCCCGCACCACCACGCGGCCAUAGCUAGGUCCGCCCCCACAGGCUGGCCCCAGAGUUCUGGGGUCUCAGUCCACAGAGGGGAGCUUCCAGGUACCCAAUAAGGCACCUGCUGGUUACCUAGCACUGGGGACGGGGACAUCUGCUGCCCUCGUACCCCGGAGUAUGGACUCAAGGGGCCAGGAUGGAGGAGGGGCACCUCCUCCCUCUGCAGCCCUCACUGGGUUCAGCUCAGACCUGGACCAGCUGUGCCUCCAGAGCCCCCACCUACAAGCCCACGCUACAGGCACUCACGUUUCAGCACAGCCACGAUGUCCUCAGAGGAGAUGGAGGUGGAGGAGCUGAUGCUGUACCCCGAGGCUGUGGGGAAGGAGACUGUGUUACCCGCUCGGCAAGACUGAAGCACCCCCUCUCCCCGCUGCGAUCCCACUAGGACCGGCCAGCCAGCCGGUCCACUUGCGGAAAUGAAUCAUCGGGGGCGGGAGGGGCUAUUGGGGAUGCGUGGAAAAAAAACAAAGAUGGUUUUGGUUUUGUGUUUGUUUUGUUGGGUAAGAAAUGAAGUUUGUCUUCCAGAGUAUGCUUUAGCCCAACUCCUGCCAGAUCCCGCCAAUCUUGUUCCCUUUUCAAAUCC